CGGGGCGUAGCGCAGCCUGGUAGCGCGCUUGAAUGGGGUUCAAGAGGUCGAGAGUUCAAAUCUCUCCGCCCCGACCA
Molecule: transfer RNA, 77 nt
Filed under: Pseudomonadota bacterium
Lineage: Bacteria; Pseudomonadati; Pseudomonadota
Description: Proteobacteria bacterium (sponge metagenome) tRNA-Pro
Rfam family: tRNA
About the family: Transfer RNA (tRNA) molecules are approximately 80 nucleotides in length. Their secondary structure includes four short double-helical elements and three loops (D, anti-codon, and T loops).
Source: RNAcentral